This 497-nucleotide ribosomal RNA is filed under the name uncultured bacterium. RNAcentral describes it as "bacterial SSU rRNA". It matches the Rfam family "Bacterial small subunit ribosomal RNA", at positions 899 to 1397 of the family's 1533-position model. The record is from RNAcentral.
ACUCAAAUGAAUUGACGGGGGCCCGCACAAGCAGUGGAGUAUGUGGUUUAAUUCGAAGCAACGCGAAGAACCUUACCAGGGCUUGACAUGCAGGUGAAUACCGUAGAGAUGCGGUAGUCUUUCGGGACGCCUGCACAGGUGGUGCAUGGUUGUCGUCAGCUCGUGUCGUGAGAUGUUGGGUUAAGUCCCGCAACGAGCGCAACCCUUGUUGUUAGUUGCCAGCGUGUAAAGGCGGGCACUCUAACGAGACUGCCGGUGACAAAUCGGAGGAAGGUGGGGACGACGUCAAAUCAUCAUGCCCCUUAUGUCCUGGGCUACACACGUACUACAAUGGCUACAACAGAGGGAAGCGAAGGAGCAAUCCGGAGCGAAUCCCCAAAAGUAGUCCCAGUUCGGAUUGUGGGCUGCAACCCGCCCACAUGAAGUCGGAAUUGCUAGUAAUGGCAGGUCAGCAUACUGCCGUGAAUACGUUCCCGGGCCUUGUACACACCGCCCGU